Molecule: ribosomal RNA, 442 nt
Filed under: uncultured bacterium
Lineage: Bacteria
Description: partial 16S ribosomal RNA
Rfam family: Bacterial small subunit ribosomal RNA
Source: RNAcentral
CCUACGGGAGGCUGCAGUAGGGAAUCUUUCACAAUGGGCGAAAGCCUGACGGAGCAACGCCGCGUGCAGGAUGAAGGCCUUCGGGUUGUAAACUGCUUUUAUCAGCGAGAAAUAUUAUGGUUACUUAUCAAUAAUGAUCGGCUAACUCCGUGCCAGCAGCCGCGGUCAUACGUAGGAUCCGAGCAUUAUCCGGGGCGUCUGGGUGUAAAGAGUUGCGUAGGUGGCAAAAUAAGUAGCUAGUGAAAUCUGGUGGCUCAACCAUUCAGACUAUUAGCUAAACUGUUAAGCUCGAGACCGUUAGGGGUAACUGGAAUUUCUAGUGUAGGAGUGAAAUCCGUAGAUAUUAGAAAGAACACCGAUGGCGUAGGCAGGUUACUGGGACGGGUCUGACACUAAGGCGCGAAAGCGUAGGGAGCAAACGGGAUUAGAUACCCUAGUAGUC